RNAcentral lists this RNase P RNA (436 nucleotides) under Leptolyngbya sp. SIO4C1. RNAcentral's name for it is "RNase P RNA component class A". It matches the Rfam family "Bacterial RNase P class A". From Rfam's summary of the family: Ribonuclease P (RNase P) is a ubiquitous endoribonuclease, found in archaea, bacteria and eukarya as well as chloroplasts and mitochondria. Its best characterised activity is the generation of mature 5'-ends of tRNAs by cleaving the 5'-leader elements of precursor-tRNAs. Cellular RNase Ps are ribonucleoproteins. The record is from RNAcentral. Lineage: Bacteria; Bacillati; Cyanobacteriota; Cyanophyceae; Leptolyngbyales; Leptolyngbyaceae.
AGAGCUGGCGCGGCGGUUGCAGGCUUGGCUAGAUCAAGUCUGAGGAAAGUCCGGGCUCCCGAAAGACCAGACUUGCUGGGUAACGCCCAGUGCGGGCGACCGUGAGGAGAGUGCCACAGAAACAUACCGCCGAUGAGAAGGCAGAAGGCAGAAGACAGAAGGCGGAAUUUAACUUCACCCUUCAUUCUUUCUCCUUCAUCCUUUCACAGGUAAGGGUGCAAAGGUGCGGUAAGAGCGCACCAGCAGCAUCGUGAGGUGCUGGCUCGGUAAACCCCGGUCGGGAGCAAGGUCGGAGGGGCCAAGGUUGGUCUUUUUCCCAGCCCCGUUUAAGGUGUACCGCUAGAGGCAGCUGGUAACAGCUGUCCCAGAUAGAUAACUGCCCUCAGUCGGCUAGCGCUGGCUGAGAACAGAACCCGGCUUACGUCCAGCUCUUUCU